Molecule: long non-coding RNA, 926 nt
Organism: Zea mays
Lineage: Eukaryota; Viridiplantae; Streptophyta; Magnoliopsida; Poales; Poaceae
Exons: 3
Source: RefSeq, a predicted model, not a curated record
AUUUGUAUGAGAGGCCAGAGGUGGUGCCUUGGUGAGGAUUAAUUGAAUUUUGAUAGAAAUUGUUCUUUCAUCUCGGGUACUAGGAAGUGCAUGCAUGAUGGGUGACUGUGUUCUCCAGCUCGGCUCUAGCACCGGCACCUGCCAAUCCACCGCCUGUUUGGUCACGAGAGGCACGUCCACUCUGUCCUUGGUGGCGGCAAGCAUAAGCCCCCUCCCCCAGAUUUGUAUACCCGAUCCGCUCCUUUUUUUAUCUAGAUCCGAUCUAGCUAUAUUUGUGCUUGAUCGUGCUACCUUGUCUUGCUGCAGAAUAGUUUGUUACCUUGUUAAUAACUUGCUUCAUGGUUUGAAACUGAAAAGUGGAAAGGCACCGACGACCAGCAGACAGUUGCGGCACACCGACUGGAUCAGGAGCAUGAUAGUCCUUUUGAUCCGAUUCGUGGAGGGCUCGGCGCCUCGGUCGGAUCUGACCCAGGGGGCGCCGCCGGUCCGUCCGGUUGCAGCCGCGUCUGAGUUUUUAAGAUUUGGAAUUUACCAUAUUAAAGGAGGCCGAGGAUGAUUGACUGAAGUCUGAAUCUGGAUGAUCUAUAUAUUAAAUCAUACUCACGCUGAAUUACUGCACGAAAAGAACUUGGGAAGCUUAAGGAGGAUUUAUAUUUUGUAUAGUUUUUCUUUACUUUAUGAAUAUUGAUAUGUAUUGUACACCAAUUAUAUGUAUAGAUGUUGAAUUUCCCACCAGUCUUGAUCCAAACAAUCGAGAGCUAGGGAUCGUUCUGAGAUAAAAGCUUUGCACAAGGAGGUGAAGAAACUCUGCUUCAAAUGUUUCACCUUACAUAUUAGAUUUUUACCAAUUUACUACUCUUUGGUUAUAAGUUAUACAUUGCUCAUUUGACUGUAAUAAUGACAAAACAUGGGCUUUUGAGAUGGCA